AUUUCACAAAAUAACUAUUCCUGAAAGCAACAUACAUCAAAGUUGCUGGUGAACGCAGCAGGCCAGGCAGCAUCUAUAGGAAGAGGCGCAGUCGACGUUUCAGGCCGAGACCCUUCGUCAGGACUAACUGAAGGAAGAAUUUCCACAAACUAUCCACGUUCAGGCGAAGUAUGCUUAUGACAAGUUU
Mobula hypostoma (lesser devil ray) is the source of this 187-nucleotide long non-coding RNA. RefSeq lists it as uncharacterized. The record is from RefSeq and is a predicted model, not a curated record. The transcript is spliced from 3 exons. Lineage: Eukaryota; Metazoa; Chordata; Chondrichthyes; Myliobatiformes; Myliobatidae.